CCGUGAACCUUUACUAUAGCUUGACACUGAACAUUGAGCCUUGAUGUGUAGGAUAGGUGGGAGGCUUUGAAGUGUGGACGCCAGUCUGCAUGGAGCCGACCUUGAAAUACCACCCUUUAAUGUUUGAUGUUCUAACGUGGACCCGUAAUCCGGGUUGCGGACAGUGUCUGGUGGGUAGUUUGACUGGGGCGGUCUCCUCCUAAAGAGUAACGGAGGAGCACGAAGGUUGGCUAAUCCUGGUCGGACAUCAGGAGGUUAGUGCAAUGGCAUAAGCCAGCUUGACUGCGAGCGUGACGGCGCGAGCAGGUGCGAAAGCAGGUCAUAGUGAUCCGGUGGUUCUGAAUGGAAGGGCCAUCGCUCAACGGAUAAAAGGUACUCCGGGGAUAACAGGCUGAUACCGCCCAAGAGUUCAUAUCGACGGCGGUGUUUGGCACCUCGAUGUCGGCUCAUCACAUCCUGGGGCUGAAGUAGGUCCCAAGGGUAUGGCUGUUCGCCAUUUAAAGUGGUACGCGAGCUGGGUUUAGAACGUCGUGAGACAGUUCGGUCCCUAUCUGCCGUGGGCGCUGGAGAACUGAGGGGGGCUGCUCCUAGUACGAGAGGACCGGAGUGGACGCAUCACUGGUGUUCGGGUUGUCAUGCCAAUGGCACUGCCCGGUAGCUAAAUGCGGAAGAGAUAAGUGCUGAAAGCAUCUAAGCACGAAACUUGCCCCGA
RNAcentral lists this ribosomal RNA (712 nucleotides) under Salmonella enterica. RNAcentral describes it as "partial 23S ribosomal RNA". It matches the Rfam family "Bacterial large subunit ribosomal RNA", at positions 2091 to 2802 of the family's 2925-position model. RNAcentral also lists the same sequence under 2 other names. Lineage: Bacteria; Pseudomonadati; Pseudomonadota; Gammaproteobacteria; Enterobacterales; Enterobacteriaceae. The record is from RNAcentral.